Molecule: ribosomal RNA, 685 nt
Filed under: uncultured Roseateles sp.
Lineage: Bacteria; Pseudomonadati; Pseudomonadota; Betaproteobacteria; Burkholderiales; Sphaerotilaceae
Description: bacterial SSU rRNA
Rfam family: Bacterial small subunit ribosomal RNA
Source: RNAcentral
GUAACAGGUUAAGCUGACGAGUGGCGAACGGGUGAGUAAUAUAUCGGAACGUGCCCAGUCGUGGGGGAUAACUGCUCGAAAGAGCAGCUAAUACCGCAUACGACCUGAGGGUGAAAGCGGGGGAUCGCAAGACCUCGCGCGAUUGGAGCGGCCGAUAUCAGAUUAGGUAGUUGGUGGGGUAAAGGCUCACCAAGCCAACGAUCUGUAGCUGGUCUGAGAGGACGACCAGCCACACUGGGACUGAGACACGGCCCAGACUCCUACGGGAGGCAGCAGUGGGGAAUUUUGGACAAUGGGCGCAAGCCUGAUCCAGCCAUGCCGCGUGCGGGAAGAAGGCCUUCGGGUUGUAAACCGCUUUUGUCAGGGAAGAAAAGGUUCUGGUUAAUACCUGGGACUCAUGACGGUACCUGAAGAAUAAGCACCGGCUAACUACGUGCCAGCAGCCGCGGUAAUACGUAGGGUGCAAGCGUUAAUCGGAAUUACUGGGCGUAAAGCGUGCGCAGGCGGUUAUGCAAGACAGAUGUGAAAUCCCCGGGCUCAACCUGGGAACUGCAUUUGUGACUGCAUAGCUAGAGUACGGUAGAGGGGGAUGGAAUUCCGCGUGUAGCAGUGAAAUGCGUAGAUAUGCGGAGGAACACCGAUGGCGAAGGCAAUCCCCUGGACCUGUACUGACGCUCAUGCACGA